AUCUAUCUGACGAGUUCGAAAUAGAACGAAACGCGUGUCCUGGAU
This is a non-coding RNA of Schistosoma rodhaini, 45 nucleotides long. NCBI's taxonomy places the organism in Eukaryota, Metazoa, Platyhelminthes, Trematoda, Strigeidida, Schistosomatidae. The record is from Rfam.